Tupaia belangeri chinensis (Chinese tree shrew) is the source of this 1823-nucleotide long non-coding RNA. RefSeq lists it as uncharacterized. The record is from RefSeq and is a predicted model, not a curated record. The transcript is spliced from 2 exons. NCBI's taxonomy places the organism in Eukaryota, Metazoa, Chordata, Mammalia, Scandentia, Tupaiidae.
GUGCCUGGCAUGAGUUUUAAGCCUCUGGGUCCGGAAUUCAAACUGUGGUUGACCACAUGGGAGUCUAGCAAUGUAACCAUUACACCAUCUGCUGGUCCCCAGCUCACAUAAUUAAAGUGUGCAUAUCAGUGGCUAUUAGUGUGUUUGUAGGUUUGUGUAACUUUCACCAUAGAACAUUUUUAUUACCAAGAAGAAACCUGUACCCAUUGGCAGUUACUCCCCACGGGAAUGACUCCCACUGACAUAGUUCCCCAGCCCUCUCUCUGUCCUGCCUCAACCUUGCCUUCUUUUUUCUGCUCACCUUCAAGGUCUUAGGGGCCUCUCCAGAGGCGGUCCCCAACUUCAGAACUAGUGUUCUGCAGUGCUGCCGUGAAGAGAUCUCAGCUUACUCUGGGGUUGGAUUGUGAAGUCAGCACUUAGGAUAAAAUGGAAUGUAAUCAAAAUUCCUCUUGAAAAUCCCAAGGAAGGUGCACUGAAGACCAGCAUCAGGAGGUCUGUGCAGUUGGUUCCUGCCCGUGUGAGAAGAUUGUUGUUUCUUCGGUUGAGCACCAGGUGAAGCGGUUGGCCUGCAGUUAGGGCCACAGGGUCCAAAAGCUAUCUAACCUUAGGUGUUAGAACCACUCUGAGGUGCGGUGCUCACUUUUGAGGUGCUCAGAACUGAGACAGGCCGCAGGAGAGAGAGGCAUGAGCUGGCCACGCCCACCCUGGCUCACUGAGCGUAGGAGGGGCAGGUGGAAUGGCCCAGAUGAUUUCCAGUUAUUUUUCCUCGUACUUUUUUUUUGGGGGGGAGAAGACUGUGUUUAAAUGAAAUGUGCUUAUAAUGCUGAAUCACUGUACCCCUACCCCAGCACACCUGUACACUGCACUGUUAUUUCCUGUUUUUACUUUGUCUCUUUAGACUGUGCGCUCUAUGAGGGCAAGGACCAUGUCUGGUUUGUUCAGCCAGUUCCUCAGUGCCUGCUACCAUGCCUGGCACCUACCUAGCAGGCCCUCCAAAACAUAAUGGAUUUGCGAAGCCCCGUUGUCUAAGGCUCUGGGCCCUCUUCCAGGCUGGUCCUUGUUUUUCUGCCAUGUACAUACAACAGUUUAUUUUCAUGUUUGAUUUUCCUUUUUAGCCUGUGAGCUCCCGACGAGCAGGCAUCUUCGUGUUAUCUCUAUACCUUUCCGCCAGGCCAGCUCAGAGUGGAUACAGGAUGAGUCAACCUUCUAGAUCUACAGAGAUGCAGAAAUGGCCCUGCUCCCUACCCAGUAUCCAGCCGUCGAUUUGCCUGGCCUCCUGAAGUACCCUGAAGUCGACACUCCAAAGGCGAAGUCUUGUUACCUCAAGAAAUCUCAAGUGAUCCACAGUCUUGGGUUCCAGCCCUGCCCUACCAAGGAUCUGCUCUGUGACUUUGGGUGACUCUUCCGCCCUCUUGGCCAGUGCUGGGAAGAGAGUCCUCUUGUGGCUCUUUACUAAAUACCCUGGGAACUCUGAAUGAAUUAGGGGCAGGAGGACAGUCACUGAGCUCCAGAGUGGUGGGAAGUCAGGCUGGGGCCGGUCCCGACCCAGCCUGGGACAAGAUUAAGCAAACCUAGAAUGGCCUUCAUCGUGAUCUGGCAGGAAAGUCAUCAGACCUGGAACCUCUUUGGCUUCUCUGCUGGGUGGUUAUACAGCGUGAAAAAUGGUGACUUGUGAUCUCAACUCAGCCGUGUAAGAUCUAGUCCUAAGUGUUGUCAGACCAAAGCAGACAAUGCAAAAAUGUUGGAAGUAUCAUCAGAUCUUUACACCAAGCAGGCUUUCAGUGUGAGAAACAAAAUAAAAUUGAUUUUCAUCUAGUCACUUA